Molecule: long non-coding RNA, 1328 nt
Organism: Aedes albopictus (Asian tiger mosquito)
Lineage: Eukaryota; Metazoa; Arthropoda; Insecta; Diptera; Culicidae
Exons: 4
Source: RefSeq, a predicted model, not a curated record
UUUCGCACUUUUAUAUUACUCAUGCGCCCCUGGAGGUGGGUGAUGAAACCACAACUUUUAAACCCUUUCGGGUAACUUUGUUUUGAUCUGCUCAUCACUUUGAACCAUGACUAGAAGCUUCAUCAGUUCUUAUACAAACUGAUGAGCUAAUGAGUUAAAACAAAAGAAAUAAUAGGGGCGUCGCGUCGUAUAGAUUACAUGACAAGCAGCGUUAACCGAUCCAAACUUCCUCAUUCAAUCGGUAUCCAAGCUACAGAUAGCUACAGCUUAGUGGAUCGUAGUCCAAUUUCAGUUAUACUCUAAACCACCAGUUAAACACCAAGUUUUUGAUAAAAGGCCCUAGUGCGAGUUUUAAAUCAAAAUUUUGCGAAAACUCAAAUUCCGUGCCGUACCAGAGUACCGCACGAGCAGCGUACCCUCGAGGCGAAGGACGCAAUCAUCCUUCAAGCGAAGGUGCUACGUCGGGGUGUAGGGGAUAGUACCACGCUGGGCUAUCUCUAGGGACGAACCUGAAGCCCGGCGGCUUGUAGGCCUGCCCUCGUCGUCGAGCCCGUGUUCAGCCCUCUGCGCACCCAGGGCCAACCGAAGGUUUCAGACCUUCUAAGGGACAUUCGGUAGUCUAUUUCCGAAUCGAUCCCGUGCCGCCUCGAAGGGUAUUACGGGGCGAGAAGACCGCGUACGUCGACAGCUAAUCCCAGACAUCCGACACAGUGGGAUCCGAUCAAGCGAAAUUACGCCCACCGCCCAUACUCGUGUACGCCACCACCGGCUCAGGGAGGAAACCGGUGCUGAGACGGUAAACUGCCAGCCAGUGCGUGCACCCUCCGGCGACUGUGAGCCGCGUGGUAUCCCGCCGCCCAGAGAGACGAUCGACUGUGAGAGCAUCGGUCGGUUCAGCCUACCGUAGGGUACCGUUGUCCGGUGUGACCCCCUCUUCGUCCACCAACCUCCAUCGCCCAGCGAGAUACAGGUCAGAUCAAUCUAGUUUUUUUUUAAUACAUACACGUUCGCAAUUAGGAUUAAAUAACACUGCGCGCAGUCUAGACAAGCAACUAAGUUUUAAGUUAGGACUUGAUAAGUUUAAACGCCUGAAUAUAACCAAAUGUACUUAGAGAACUCAGGGUUUUAGUUAAUAUUGAAGCACAUAACCCGAGAGAAAAGGAAGAGUUUGAUCGGUUCGGGUUUCGUUAGUUGGUUUUCUUUAUCGCCCCCUAGUCUACGUUCUUGGUUGUGGCCUAGGUUAACGUGAAGUUGCAUCGCGAUUGGUUCGGAAUUGAUUUACAUAAAGGACUCGCCUUGAGGAGUCCAGCCGGGAAAACUUGCUGAUC